Strigamia maritima is the source of this 61-nucleotide non-coding RNA. NCBI's taxonomy places the organism in Eukaryota, Metazoa, Arthropoda, Chilopoda, Geophilomorpha, Linotaeniidae. The record is from Rfam.
CUCUUUGGUUAUCUAGCUGUAUGAGUAGAAUCAGGCUUCAUAAAGCUAGGUUACCAAAGUU